AUUGAACGCUGGCGGCAUGCCUUACACAUGCAAGUCGAACGGCAGCACGGUUGCUUGCACCUGUUGGCGAGUGGCGAACGGGUGAGUAAUACAUCGGUACAUGUGCUUUGGCUGGGGAUUGCCUUGCGAAAGCCGGAUUAAUACCGCAUACGAUCUACGGGUGACAGCGGGGGGCCUGCGGGCCUCGCGCGAUAGGGUUGGCCGAUGGGGGAUUUGCUAGUUGGUGGGGUAAAGGCCUACCCCGGCGACGAUCAGUAGCUGGUCUGAGAGAACGACCAGCGACACUAGAGCUGGACCAGGGACAAGGGUACUACGAGACGCAGCAGUCGGGAAUGUUGGACAAUGGUCGAGAGCCUGGUCCAGCGAUGCCGCGUGUGAGACAGCGACCUUCGGGUUGUAAAGCACUUUUGUCCGGAAAGAAAUCCUUGGCCCUAAUACGGUCGGGGGAUGACGGUACCGGAUAAAUAAGCACCGGCUAACUACGUG
This 486-nucleotide ribosomal RNA is filed under the name uncultured bacterium. RNAcentral's name for it is "partial 16S ribosomal RNA". It matches the Rfam family "Bacterial small subunit ribosomal RNA", at positions 30 to 507 of the family's 1533-position model. The record is from RNAcentral.